CUCGCAGCGCCAGUUGAAAUCACUUGCAAACGAUCAAAGAAAAGAAAACUUGUCGGGCAUUCAAAGAGAGUUUAUAUUGGGACUGCCACUGUUUUCAGAAAUUCUUUUGACUUCAGAUUCCCGACGAUAGUGGUUCAGGAUGACUAUGGAUAAUUUAGCUGGCAUUUCAGUGCUACCGUCUCAUCCUGUUCAUGAGGCUGAAUCACCUGGUGGUUGAUCUGUACAGGCUUAUUCCUCCACGGCACAAGAUAAUGCAUGUGUUACCUGAGCGGUUGGUAUGAUGCAGUGUUCAAGAUGCAUGUUGGACCUUCAAGUUGCCUGGUGCCAUCCUGUAAGCAGUUGGGUGUGCUAUAUUCUAAAGGAUGACUGGAUAAUUUAGCUGGCAUUUCAGUGCUACUGUCUCGUCCUGUUCAUGAGGCUGAAUCACCUGGUGGUUGAUCUUUACAGGCUUAUUCCUCAAUUGCACAAGAAGUUGCAUGUGUUACCCGAGCAUUAAUUGGUUGGUGUGAUGCAGUGUUCAAAAGUGAGCUAUUUGAAAGUAUGUUGGACCUUCAAGUUGCCUGGUGCCAUUCUGUAAGCAGUUGGGUGUCCUACAUUCUAAAGGUCUUGUCUAAGGAUAGGAGGUAGUCCAAUUCUCCUUUUUCACUUUGUGGUGAAGAUGUAUGACAAGUCAUGGGCUCUUUUGUGUUAUCUUGCAUUUCUUCUGCGGACAUAGUUCCAAUGGAAACUCACAAUUGAACCCAUUGGAAUCGUCAACUGGCGCGGCAUAAUUUUUGUUUUUUUGUGUUGCUUUUUGCAGGUAUGUCGGUAUGAAAUGUUUGCUAUAAUUUGAUCUAUGAUUAUAGCUGUACACGGCAUGCUUCUUCGGUUGUUACUUCUUAUGUUUACUUGAUGAAAGUCGAAGCUAUUUUUUUCUGUCGGAAUUUAAAAAAUUUGUUUUGUGUAUGUUGUGUAUUGGUGUAAUAUCCCUUGGC
Molecule: long non-coding RNA, 974 nt
Organism: Daphnia carinata
Lineage: Eukaryota; Metazoa; Arthropoda; Branchiopoda; Diplostraca; Daphniidae
Exons: 7
Source: RefSeq, a predicted model, not a curated record